This 77-nucleotide transfer RNA is filed under the name Halothiobacillaceae bacterium. RNAcentral describes it as "tRNA-Pro". It matches the Rfam family "tRNA". Rfam says of the family: Transfer RNA (tRNA) molecules are approximately 80 nucleotides in length. Their secondary structure includes four short double-helical elements and three loops (D, anti-codon, and T loops). The record is from RNAcentral. Lineage: Bacteria; Pseudomonadati; Pseudomonadota; Gammaproteobacteria; Chromatiales; Halothiobacillaceae.
CGGAGUGUAGCUCAGCUUGGUAGAGCACUACGUUCGGGACGUAGGGGCCGCAGGUUCGAAUCCUGCCACUCCGACCA